Molecule: ribosomal RNA, 413 nt
Filed under: Nocardioides sp. R-39112
Lineage: Bacteria; Bacillati; Actinomycetota; Actinomycetes; Propionibacteriales; Nocardioidaceae
Description: bacterial SSU rRNA
Rfam family: Bacterial small subunit ribosomal RNA
Source: RNAcentral
UGGCUCAGGACGAACGCUGGCGGCGUGCUUAACACAUGCAAGUCGAGCGGUAAGGCCUUUCGGGGUACACGAGCGGCGAACGGGUGAGUAACACGUGAGUAAUCUGCCCCUCACUUCGGGAUAAGCCUCGGAAACGGGGUCUAAUACCGGAUACGACACAGACCUGCAUGGGUUCUGUGUGGAAAGUUUUUCGGUGGGGGAUGAGUUCGCGGCCUAUCAGCUUGUUGGUGGGGUAAUGGCCUACCAAGGCUUCGACGGGUAGCCGGCCUGAGAGGGUGACCGGCCACACUGGGACUGAGACACGGCCCAGACUCCUACGGGAGGCAGCAGUGGGGAAUAUUGGACAAUGGGCGGAAGCCUGAUCCAGCAACGCCGCGUGAGGGAUGACGGCCUUCGGGUUGUAAACCUCUUUC